CAGGAACCAACCUGGACCUGGAUCUGGAUCCAGCUGUGUGUCCUACAGGAGUGACAGAUCAAAGGGUUUACCUCCUCUCUUCAAAGACAUUAGUUCAGGAGGGGAACAGUUCCAACAGAGAUCUGGAUCUGGAUUCAGCUCUGUGUCCAAAAGGAGUGACAGAUCAAAGAAUUUACCUCCUGACUUCAAAGCCAUCAUUUCAGCAGUGGAACAAGUGGACCAGCAGAGCUCAGAGACUCCCAGUGGUCCGUCUGUCCAGCAGCAUCAAACACA
Molecule: long non-coding RNA, 273 nt
Organism: Oryzias melastigma (Indian medaka)
Lineage: Eukaryota; Metazoa; Chordata; Actinopteri; Beloniformes; Adrianichthyidae
Exons: 3
Source: RefSeq, a predicted model, not a curated record